UUUCCUCCCUCCCUCCCUCCCCAUCUCUCCACUCUGCUUCUCAGAUAAAUCUUAAAAAAAUAAAAUAAAAAACUCAUAAUACUUAACCAUCAGAAUAUGGAAAAAUCUCUAUACCUUCCAUUCUAUUUUUUUCUGAACCUAAAUAGACUCUAAAAUAUCAAAUGUACUUUAAGAAAAGAAAGGAAAAGCCCCUAUAUUCAUUGCCAAGUUACUUCCUCACCAAAUCAGACUAAAUCAUCUCCUCGCUUGCGCAUACUUCCCGCAAACCCUCAGCUGAGCUGCCUCUGAUCACUGUCAUGCUCUUUUGACCUCCCUUGAUUUAUUUACACCUGGAUAUACCUAAAAAACAAGCAACAACUACAAUAAAACCAGCCCCAGUGAGAUGCCUUUUUUUUUUACUUCCAUUCAAGCUUCCAGAGUUCAGAACUUCAGCCUGUGCCUAAAACCGCCUGAUUAAUCCUUAGACUAAGAGGACCUCAGUGCCUUAUGCCUUAACUUUUUACUUUAGAAGCCAGAGGGUGAAAAGGAAAGGAAAUCCUAGCCCCUAGUGAGCUAGUGCCUCUUAUAAGGCAAUUAGGGAUAUAAGCCUUUAAAAUGUAUGGUUUAAGCUUACUGGAAAAGCCUCCCUUCUCUCCCUCCCUCCCUCUUCCUACCCUCAACCCAGCUUCAUCAGUACUCAGAAGGCCUCCCUAUUAGGAAUCCUCUUAAAAAUGCCUCUUGCACUCUCCUAGUGCCUUGAAUGUGAGCUAUGUGACCCUGCGUAGUGAGAUGACGUUGUACGGCUGGGAGUUCACACUGAAGCCUGACCUUCUAACAUCUGUGCUCUCAGCAGGGUCACACAGGCCCCAUCUCUCCUGCCUCACUUCUAGGGAACUGACACAGUGGGGAGGGGCCCCUCUGUCACAGUCUAGAGAGAGGACAGGCAACUGGCAUUGACUCUCCCUCACUAGACUGUGGCAAGGACAAUGCCAACCAACCCUGGAACUACCCACAGCCAUGGAAGCACACCCUACGGAAGACCCACUCCCAAAUUUCCCUCUGCCUGUUUUGUUCCCUUGCACCAAUCUCUAAGCAAUACUCUAGGACCCAGGAACCCAAAUUUGCAUUGCCUCUGUUGCUGUCAGACACGGGAGGCAACCCUAAGUCAGUCUCUUCCCAUGUUGGAUGCUAGACAGAGCAGUUCUGGAAUUUCUCACUGCACGAGGCUGUAGCCCUGCCUCUGAGUCUCCCAGUCCCUAGGUUCUGGGAAUUCUGUUUCAAAAGAUUCAUUCAUUUAUUCUGAAGGCAAAGUGACAGAGAGAGAGGAGAGAGAGGAAGAUCUUCCAUCUACUGAUUUACUCCCCCAAAAAGGCACAACAACCAGGUCUGGACCAGGCUGAAGCCAGGAGCCAGGAACUCCAUCCAGGUCUCCCACAGGGGUGGCAGAGGUCCAAGUACUUGGGUCAAUUCUGCUGCUUUCCCAGGUGCAUAAUUAGCAGGGAGCCGGAUCAGAAAUGGAGCAGCCAAGGUGAGACUCUGACCUGCACUCCGAUGUGGGAUGCCUGUGUCACAAGAGGUUGGCUUAACCCACUGCUCCACAACACUGCCCCCACGGUGCCAGGAACUCACCGCAGCCAACGUGCUAACCACAGUUAAACAAAGGGCUCUGACUUCCAUGGCUGUUUGGGAAGAGAAGUGGUGGAAGGGCAAUUGCUCAGGGCGCAUGACAUCCCAGCUGCAACAUAGCCCAUUUCCUUUUAUUACAUCACUGGUCACAGUGACCCUCAGGACAGCGCCAACACUACAUACAUCCAUUACAUCAUAACAUCAGUGUACCUCGUUCCCAGGCAGCUCCCAGUGGUGGCUGGAAGAGCAGGAAGGAACCAAUCAGGACCCAGCUGGAGAGCUGUGUUCCCACAAACUGCUCUCCCAGCCCCAUUUUAAAGACAACACCGACAAAGGCCAAUCAUCCCAGUGAGGAGGUUUACAGACUGACUCCAGAGCAUCCAGGAACAAGAUGUCUUGUCAAUAUUUGACGAGAAAACUUACUAUGGAUUUCACCAGAAGACAAGGAGGGCUGCAACUUAGGAGGGGAAGUCAGCAACAAGUUGAUUUCAUUUUUCCUAGCCCAUACAGAAGUUUCAGACUCCGGAGACCAACCAGCAGCUGAACAGGGAGCCUCACAGGACACUGAGUUCCCCCGUUCCCAGGAGCGAAUGCGCCUCUAGAGUGGAUGCCCCAAGACAGAGCCACCACCUGUCACAUCGGGCAUGUUUACAACUAAGUGGCAGUUUGCAUACCUGAUUUUUUUUUUACCUUUUUAAAAUGUAAUUUCAAGCUUACAAAAAGCUGCGAAUAUAAAACAAGCACAAGAAAUACCUCCUUGCCCCAGGUUCACUUACUGUUAAAUUUUAUUCCAUGUACUUUGUCAUUUGCUCUCCUAACUCUUUCUACUUUGUAUGUGUGCACCUAAUUUUUGAACCAUCUGCAGGUAAGUCGCAUGGUCUCACAGCCCUAAACUCCUCAAUGGUUCAGUGUGCAUUUCCUGAGAGUGGGGAUAUUCCCUUCUGCAACCUUCCAGUGUGUUCAUCAACCUCACACAUUCCUAUUCCUACUUCUCAUCAGAUCAUAACCAUCCACAUUCCAAUUUUGUCAGUUGAUAUAAAUUAGCCUUUAUAGCAAACCCCCCAAAAAGAAUCACACUAAAAUCAGGUACUGCAUUUAGUUGUCAUAUACUUUGAGUUCUUUUACCUCCCGGUAUUCCCUCGCCUUUCUUUUGGUAGCAGGCAGAGCAAAGCCCCUUCCAGCCCCCAGGUUGCCACGCCCUAAGCCCAGAACCUGUGAACGUCUCCCCUUCCGUGGCUCAGGAACUUUGCAGGUAUGACCAUGUUAAGGCUCUGCGCAGGAAGGUUAAUGGGCCUGGCAGGCUCAGUGCCUCGUCAGGAGCCAGGGGACUCAGAGGAGGAGCUGUCUUUGAAGAUGGAAGGGGGACUGCAAGCUGAGAAAUACAAGUCCCCUCACCACCUUUUCUCUACAACUGUAGUUCUCCGGGUCGGCACUGCGGCGCAGUAGGUUAACCCUCCCACUGCAGCGCCAGCAUCCCACAUAGGCGUCCAUUCUAGUUCCGGCUGCUCCUCUUCCGAUCCAGCUCUCUGCUAUUCCCUGGGAAAGCAGUAGUAGAUGGCCCAGGUCCUUGGGGCCCUGCACCCACGUAGGAGACCUGGAAGAAGCUCCUGGCCUCUGGCUUCAGACCAGCUCAGCUCCAGCCAUUGUGGCCAUUUGAGGAGUGAACCAGCAGAUAGAAGAUCUCUCUCUCUGUGUCUCUCCCUCUCACUGUCUAUAACUCUACCUCUCAAAUAAAUAAAAAACCUUUAAAAAAAAAAAAAAACCUGUGAUUUUCUUUAUUUUGUUUUGAUGUUUCUUUUUAUUAGACUAUGGUUAUGCAUUCUCAGCUGGAACACAGGCAACAUUAGGGUAUUCCAUCUGCAAAUAUACAACAGUCCUCCACCCCCCACAGGGGAUAUAAAUGUUGAUCAUUUGGUUGAGAUGUUGUCUAAUUUCCCCUCUGUAUAAUUGCAGCCUCUCUCUCUCUCUCUCUCUCUCUCUCUCUCUCUCUCUCUGAGUGUCCUCCUCAAUUAAAUGUCCUCUGUAUUUGGUACCCACUGAUGAUUCUCAGCUACAGCCAUCGCAACUUCAGUGGUCGCCAAUGAUGACUGUCCAACUCCAGUGCCCUCCAUUGCACCGAUCGGUCCUGGCAUUCUACUGUAAGAAGAGCCUGCCCAGAUCCUCCCCUGAUGAACUUACGUGCUGGGAAGUGUUCCAAGGUGGACAGGGAGUGGGAGAGAGACAAGAGACAGUGUGAAUACUGCAAGGAGGUGAGAAGUGGAGCAGAGGAAAAGGGGAGAGCAAGAGGAAGAGGCUCAGCUGGCAACAGAAAUAUGAACACCAAACUAUGGCAACCAGUGUACGUUAAGUGACCCUUUUGUCUAAAUAUUUAAUCAACCACUAAGCAACUACUCAGAUAAGAAUUAUUCUCAUUAGUACCCAACCCUUUAUAAAUAACUUCUCUAAAUGCCAUACCCUAGGGGAUUUGAAAUAUGCUGCCAGGCCUCUCCCCUGAGAGAAGGAAAAGGAGCUGGAGCUUAGGGCCAGUAUCGUGGCACAGUGGGCAGAGCUAUGGCCCAUGAUGCUGGCGUUCCAUAGGCAUCCCAUAUGGUGUCGGUUCAAGUCCCAGCUGUUCCACUUCUGAUCCAGCUCCCUGCUAAUGCACCUAGGAAAGCAGCAGAAGAUGGUCCAAGUACUUGGGUCCCCGCACGGACAUGGAGGACCUGGAUGGAGUGCCUGGCUCCUGGCUUCAGCCUGGCCUGGCUGUGGCUGUCACAGCCAUCUGGGGAGUGAACCAAUGGAUGGAAGAUCUCUCUCUCUCUCUGUCUCUCCCCCUCACUCCCUACUCUACUCACAAAGUUCAUGGGAAAAUAGAAUUAAAAUAUGUUUAUUUUCAUGCAAAAAAUUGAAAUCCAUGCAUAAUUUUUUUCAUAAUACACAUUUUUAUAAACUUUUUGAAAGUUUCUCACAUGCAUGGAUUUAGGGUUUUUAUGUGUGUGCCAAAACACCCCUGUCAUCUUCUCCAGUUCCUUGUUCUCACGGCACUUCUCAGUAACGAGCUUCUCACCACCCUGUUUAACUACAACCGUGUCCAUCCAGUCCCCACCCCGUGCUCUGGUUUGUCCUUUGUCUUUUUUUGCAUAAUAUUUAUCAUAUAUUUUGCAAAUAAUUUGUUUAUUAAGUUUCCUGUUUCUUCUCCGCCCAUUAGCGUAUAAGCUCCAUGAAGUCAGAAAUGUUUGCCUGUUUUGUUUACUGACUUGGAAUAAGGUCAGACCUACAGGAGGAAUCUCGAUAAACUGUGUUAAACUAAACGAAUGACCUCAAGAUCUCAUUCUCUUUCUUUGAGAGAUCAAAUAUGAAAACAAUAAAGAGGGUGUGAAUAAUGCAAUUGAUGAGGUUGAUUUAAUACAUACAUUUUAAACAAAGAUAUAUUUGAAAAGAUAAACUCUUCUUUUCAAGAGUGUAUGAUAGGGGCCAGCGCUGUGGGGCAGUGGGCUAAUGCCAUGGCCUGAAGUACCGGCAUCCAUAUGGGCACCGGUUUGAGAUCCAGCUGCUCCUCUUCCGAUCCAGCUCUCUGCUGUGGCCUAGGAAAGCAGUAGAAGAUGGCCCAAGUGCUUGGGCCUCUGCACCCACGUGGGAGACCCAGAGGAAGCUCCUGGCUUCGGAUCGGUGCAGCUCCAGCUCCGGUCAUUGCGGCCAAUUGGGGAGUGGACCAUCAGAUGGAAGACCUCUCUCUCUCUCUCUCUCUCUCUCUGCCACUCCUCUCUCUGUGUAACUCUGAGUUUCAAAUAAAUAAAUCUUUAAAAAAAAAAA
Non-coding RNA from Oryctolagus cuniculus (rabbit), 5397 nucleotides. The record is from RefSeq and is a predicted model, not a curated record. NCBI's taxonomy places the organism in Eukaryota, Metazoa, Chordata, Mammalia, Lagomorpha, Leporidae.